CUUAAUGUAAAAAGGUAAGCUAAACAAGCUAAUGGGUUCAUACCCCAUUUAUAGAGGUAUCAAUCCUCUCCUUUUUAAUGACCAACAACUCUACAAAACUUCUCUUCCUAUCAACAUUAAUGAUAGGAACGAUCCUGUCCAUUUCAUCAAACUCCUGAUUUGGAGUUUGAAUAGGACUUGAGAUCAACUUACUUUCAUUUAUUCCGCUCCUAACAAGAAAUAAAAAUAUAAUAAUAAAUGAAUCAUCAAUUAAAUAUUUUAUUGUCCAAGCAAUAGCAUCGACAAUACUAUUAUUUUCAAUUU
Molecule: long non-coding RNA, 303 nt
Organism: Schistocerca cancellata (South American locust)
Lineage: Eukaryota; Metazoa; Arthropoda; Insecta; Orthoptera; Acrididae
Exons: 2
Source: RefSeq, a predicted model, not a curated record